This 253-nucleotide ribosomal RNA is filed under the name uncultured bacterium. RNAcentral's name for it is "partial 16S ribosomal RNA". It matches the Rfam family "Bacterial small subunit ribosomal RNA", at positions 524 to 776 of the family's 1533-position model. The record is from RNAcentral.
UACGAAGGGGGCUAGCGUUGCUCGGAAUUACUGGGCGUAAAGCGCACGUAGGCGGAUUGUUAAGUCGGGGGUGAAAUCCUGGAGCUCAACUCCAGAACUGCCUUCGAUACUGGCGAUCUCGAGUUCGGGAGAGGUGAGUGGAACUGCGAGUGUAGAGGUGAAAUUCGUAGAUAUUCGCAAGAACACCAGUGGCGAAGGCGGCUCACUGGCCCGGAACUGACGCUGAGACGCGAAAGCGUGGGGAGCAAACAGG